UACGUAGGGUGCAAGCGUUAUCCGGAAUUAUUGGGCGUAAAGAGCUCGUAGGCGGUUGUCGCGUCUGCUGUGAAAACUGGAGGCUCAACCUCCAGCCUGCAGUGGGUACGGGCAGACUAGAGUGCGGUAGGGGAGAUUGGAAUUCCUGGUGUAGCGGUGGAAUGCGCAGAUAUCAGGAGGAACACCGAUGGCGAAGGCAGAUCUCUGGGCCGAUACUGACGCUGAGGAGCGAAAGCGUGGGGAGCGAACAGG
This 252-nucleotide ribosomal RNA is filed under the name uncultured bacterium. RNAcentral's name for it is "partial 16S ribosomal RNA". It matches the Rfam family "Bacterial small subunit ribosomal RNA", at positions 524 to 776 of the family's 1533-position model. The record is from RNAcentral.